GAUGAACGCUGGCGGCGUGCCUAAUACAUGCAAGUCGAGCGAACGGACGAGAAGCUUGCUUCUCUGAUGUUAGCGGCGGACGGGUGAGUAACACGUGGAUAACCUACCUAUAAGACUGGGAUAACUUCGGAAAACCGGAGCUAACACCGGAUAAUCUUUUGCACCGCAUGGUUCAAAAGUGAAAGACGGUCUUUCUGUCACUUAUAGAUGGAUCCGCGCUUCAUUAGCUAGUUGGUAAGGUAAAGGCUUACCAAGGCAACGAUGCAUAGCCGACCUGAGAGGGGGAUAGCCCACAUGGGAACUGAGACACGGUCCUGACGCCUACGGGAGGCAGCAGUAGGGAAUCUUCCGCAAUGGGCGAAAGCCUGACGGAGCAACGCCGCGUGAGUGAUGAAGGUCUUCGGAUCGUAAAACUCUGUUAUUAGGGAAGAACAUAUGUGUAAGUAACUGUGCACAUCUUGACGGUAACUAAUCAGAAAGCCACGGCUAACUACGUG
This 497-nucleotide ribosomal RNA is filed under the name uncultured bacterium. Its description in RNAcentral is "partial 16S ribosomal RNA". It matches the Rfam family "Bacterial small subunit ribosomal RNA", at positions 28 to 507 of the family's 1533-position model. The record is from RNAcentral.